RNAcentral lists this ribosomal RNA (253 nucleotides) under uncultured bacterium. Its description in RNAcentral is "partial 16S ribosomal RNA". It matches the Rfam family "Bacterial small subunit ribosomal RNA", at positions 524 to 776 of the family's 1533-position model. The record is from RNAcentral.
UACGUAGGGGGCAAGCGUUGUCCGGAUUUACUGGGCGUAAAGGGCGCGUAGGCGGCUUGUCAAGUCACUUGUGAAAUCUCUGGGCUUAACCCAGAACGGCCAAGUGAAACUGACAUGCUAGAGUGCGGAAGGGGCAAUCGGAAUUCUCGGUGUAGCGGGGAAAUGCGUAGAUAUCGAGAGGAACACCUGCGGCGAAGGCGGGUUGCUGGGCCGACACUGACGCUGAGGCGCGAAAGCCAGGGGAGCGAACGGG